Molecule: ribosomal RNA, 459 nt
Filed under: uncultured bacterium
Lineage: Bacteria
Description: partial 16S ribosomal RNA
Rfam family: Bacterial small subunit ribosomal RNA
Source: RNAcentral
CCUACGGGUGGCAGCAGUGAGGAAUAUUGGUCAAUGGGCGGGAGCCUGAACCAGCCAAGCCGCGUGAGGGAAGAAGGUACAGCGUAUCGUAAACCUCUUUUGUCAGGGAACAAAGGCGGGGACUAGUCCCCGGAUGAGGGUACCUGAAGAAAAAGCAUCGGCUAACCCCGUGCCAGCAGCGGCGGUAAUACGGGGGAUGCGAGCGUUAUCCGGAUUUAUGGGGUUAAAAGGGUGCGCAGCCGGCCCGUUAAGUCAGCGGUAAAAGCCCGUGGCUAAACCCGGGCUAGCCGUUGAAACUGGCGGGCUGGAGUUGGAGAGAGGUACGCGGAAUGCGCGGUGUAGCGGUGAAAUGCUUAGAUAUCGCGCAGAACCCCGAUUGCGAAGGCAGCGUACCGGCUCAACAUUGACGCUGAGGCACGAAAGCGUGGGUAUCGAACAGGAUUAGAUACCCGUGUAGUC